AAACUGGAGGAAGGUGGGGAUGACGUCAAGUCAUCAUGGCCCUUACGACCAGGGCUACACACGUGCUACAAUGGCGCAUACAAAGAGAAGCGACCUCGCGAGAGCAAGCGGACCUCAUAAAGUGCGUCGUAGUCCGGAUUGGAGUCUGCAACUCGACUCCAUGAAGUCGGAAUCGCUAGUAAUCGUGGAUCAGAAUGCCACGGUGAAUACGUUCCCGGGCCUUGUACACACCGCCCGUCACACCAUGGGAGUGGGUUGCAAAAGAAGUAGGUAGCUUAACCUUCGGGAGGGCGCUUACCACUUUGUGAUUCAUGACUGGGGUGAAGUCGUAACAAGGUAACCGUAGGGGAACCUGC
This 356-nucleotide ribosomal RNA is filed under the name Salmonella enterica subsp. enterica serovar Telelkebir. RNAcentral's name for it is "bacterial SSU rRNA". It matches the Rfam family "Bacterial small subunit ribosomal RNA", at positions 1160 to 1515 of the family's 1533-position model. Lineage: Bacteria; Pseudomonadati; Pseudomonadota; Gammaproteobacteria; Enterobacterales; Enterobacteriaceae. The record is from RNAcentral.